RNAcentral lists this long non-coding RNA (4375 nucleotides) under Apis florea (little honeybee). RNAcentral describes it as "uncharacterized LOC116414237, transcript variant X1". Lineage: Eukaryota; Metazoa; Arthropoda; Insecta; Hymenoptera; Apidae. The record is from RNAcentral.
AAGAAGAAGAAGAGGAAGAAAAAGCAAAGAGAGAGAGAAAGAGAGAGGGAGAGAGACAUCUCGAGGAAUUCGACGAUUGUUCAGAGGCGUUUAAAAUUCUUCGGGGUUGUUGGGGUCGAGAAACGGGAGACGCAACGACUGGCUUUGGCCUGUUUUUACGUGGGACGAGAAUUUCGAAAGCGUCGGCGAACAAGCGUAAAGAGGAUCGCGGCGCAAUAAAAAUGACGAUUUACGCUCGACGUCAUCGUUAUAAAACCGGGGGCCAAUGACUCCAAUGGAUGAACCACCCAUCCCUUCUGUCUUCCCUUGAUCUACGCGCCCCAAUUCUCUUUGGAUCCCGAAUCAUGGAACUCUAUUAACUCUUUAUUACAGGCUUUGUCUCGAUAUCGAAAUAAAUUGUGCGUUCAUUGGUUCAUUUUGUACGAUUCUGAAAAACGCUUCUUCAACGUUGGGAAAAGUUUUGUGUAGUUUUUUCCUUUUUUUUUUAGAUUUCUUCGUCUCCCUGAGAUGCUAAUUUUAGUUUGGACAGUGUUUGUUACGUUUCAAUUUUAGGACACGGUACGAAUCAAUUGUGUAACUGUUCUUCUAUAUUUUUAGUAUCAAAACGAUUGCAAAAAUGAGGGUGUAAAUACGUAAUAGACUCAUCUCGAGUUAUUAAGGAAUAAUCACAGGAAUGAAAAUUUCGAAACAAGUAGUUAGACGAAGUUUUCUUCUUCGAUAAUAUCUCAUUAUUUAUCAUCGUUUAUAGUCUAUAAUAAAUAGACUUGGAUAUCCUAUUAUGCUCGUGUAUAGUCUUUAACCUCCGCUCCAAUCCUAGAGUAAACUAUCAAUUUACUUUUCAAAGAAUAUGGAAGGAAUAUUAUUGUCUAUAUUUACCUAUUGCAACAACUUUAAUCCAACUUUUCGAUUAUCGUUUACUUCGUUUUAACGACAAAUUACCCUUGAAUAGUUCACUUUAUCUCCUAGAUAAAAAAAAAACAAGAUUUUUCUAAAAAUCUAAUUUUAUUUAACGUUCCAGACAUGCCCAAAAUAUUUAUUAAACAAUUUUAUCGGAUGUUUUUAUACACUAAAUGAAACAAUUCUUCAUUAAGAAUCCAAAAUGUCCAAUUACAAAUAUCAAUUCAAAUUUUUCGUGAAGUUCGAUCGUUAAAAUAUUAUUCGAAUAUUUCAAAUUCCCCGCGAAAAAUAAUCUCCAAGAAAAGUGAGCAACAAAAAGAGGAGGAAAAUCAAUCAACCUAACAAGUCCCUUGAAAAAAAGCGCGCCCGGUGGCUAAUCUUCUCGCGCCCCAUAAUUAAUUACGCGUUAUCCGGAACAGGCCCCGAUUAUCCCUUAACGGGACAACGAUGCCCUCUUCCCCCCUCCCUUUCCCCCUCUGAUAAUGGGCCAGAUAGGAUGGGCCUUAUUAGGAAAAAUGCAAGGCUCGAUCCUUUUCGUCCGCUUUACGAGCGGAAACCCGGCCAUAUUUCUCCGUGAAAUUUAACGAACCUCGGCCGCGAUGGGACACCAUUAAAAAAUUCCUGGGCCGUCAUGUGGCGUGGUGGUGCGCAACCGGCCGAUAAACGGCAGCGUAAACGCGAGGAAUGAUGAUAUUACGAGACGUUUCGCGCGGAAAUAUCCCGUGCAGAAGUCGGGAUCGGCGAGAAAAACACUGAUUUAUCGGAGGCGGGCUUAAUUGCGCGCGAAGCCGAUUUACGAGCCGUGUUACCAACGUUCGAUGGAACGUUGGUCCCAGACUACGAGAGUUUCUAUUGCAAGAGAUUCUAUCUUGCUGAAUUUUCAUCGAGGAAUUUCUGGUGAUUUUUGUUCUUGUUUCUUCUUUUUAAGUUUUCGGUCAAUUAUUAUUGGGGAGACAUUCAACCGUCUCGAUUCCGUUUUCAAGCCGUUCGUUUAAAGGUUUUGGAGAGGAUUGUAGAAUCGUGACCGUUUUAAAUCCCUCAAAGAAACGUUGAAGAUGAAUAUCGACCGGAGAAGAUAAAAUAAAAUAAAAUGUGAUAUCGUUUCUUUUAAAGUAUCGAUGAAAAAUUAACGUUUUGGCCAUCUCUUCGGGCACGUACGGACGGACGUUUCAAUUAUUUAAGCUGACAACGAGCGCACUCGGCCGAAAGAGUUUGGAAACUCGAAAGUGCAUUUCGUGCACGUAACAAACUUAAAUAGACGGAUCGUGUGCACGGGUUGGACUGCGACUAUUAUCAGAUCAAUAAUUGGCGAAGGAGGGCCGAACUUGCCGAACUUCGAGCCCCGUUUCGGGUUAAUUCCCGUCUAUCAAGCCUCGUGUCUGUCACUCGUGGCUUGUUCGAGGGGGGGAAACAACGAGUCUCAUCGCUUGUCACGGGAGAAAUGUAGUUGCCGUGCAACUGAAACUGCGUCAAAAAAUAUCAAGGAUCGAGAAGAUAAUUUGAAAUCGAGGUAGACGAAGCUGUGAUCGAGAUUAACAAAAAAAAAAAAAUAUAUCAAAGAUUCAAACUCGAACGAAAGACAUUGGAACCAGAAUUAGGAACAAUCUCCUCUUACGUUGAACAUUUCACAUCAUUCUCGAAAAUAUCGAGCUAUUAGAAAAUCUUUUUAUAUAUAAAUACUCUUAGAUAUUUCAUUACGCCAUAUCUUCUAAAGAAAAAAAAAAAGAAAAAGAAAAAGGAAACUAGUAUUUCAAAUUUGAAAACUACCAAUCAAACUCCACUGAAUUUUAAAUACCACAAACACUAUCAUUAUACUUGCAUUUACUCUCCCUCAGAUCCAAAGAAACGGUGCUUAUUUCGAGCGCACCCAAUGUUUUACAAACAAAAUUAUGACUUCAAGUCCAAGACCAAUUACCUUUAAAAAGAAGAAAGAAAGAAACUAAGAAAGAAAGAAAGAAAAAGAAAAAAAUUCAUCGAGAAACUAAAUUACAGUCCACCAUUUGAACCAUCUCCUCAAGUUUCUUCCUUCCUUCCUUCCUUCCUUCCUUUCUUCUUUUUCUUUUUUUUUUCGACUCAACCGAGAACAACAAAAACUUUAAACGUACGCAUCGAACUAACAUGAAAGUAUAAUCCUUGCCUCGAAGAAGAAGGUAUUACACGUGCAACAAGCGAGGCGGCGGUGUGUCUACACGGCAGGAAAAAGCGACCCCCCGCGCGUUAAAAGGGUUCGAAAGAAACGGCAUCACGUAUUUCUACGAUCGUGCCGUGGCAACAGGAGUAGCAAAAUCGACGACGUUUCGCGCAUAAUUAAGCAGUUGUUGGCCGUAGUAUUUUAGGGCCGAGGUGACGUCUCUAUCCCGUGCGGCUCGCUCAUAUCGCGGGUGUUUACUCGGAUUUACAUCGCGCAUACAUAUGUAUGGAAGAAACUACGAUUUGUAUCGUCACGUUGGCCAAUUAAGGGGCCGGGGUCGUUAACGAAGAGAAUAAUUAGAAAGCACAUUGGCAAGCCGGCCGGUGUGGACGACCUGGUGUGCACGUACUCUUUUUUCUUUUUUCUUUAUGCUUUAUACAGCAGGAUACACCGCUGUGAUAUGGCCACGAGAGAAAGGGGAAAAAAGAAAAUGAAAAAUAAAAAAAUAGAGAAGGAAACGAAAAAGAUUCGCGCCACGUUCCAUAAACGCGGGGAAUUAAUAUGUUUUAGCCGGGCAUAUUUGCAUUCGGAAUGCCUGCAUAUGAAAUGGGGAUGUUCGGCCUCGAGGCGGGCCCGGAAUAACCGAGAAACGGGCAAUUAAAAGGGGGUAAUUGGGUAGAUUCCUUUUCGCGCGACCACCCAGGCCACGCGUGUGUAUUAUUGUCGUUUGAGAUUGAAAUAAUAUUGUCUAGGAAUUUGUACUUGUUUCUCUGUUGUUUCUUGAAAUAUUCAGAUUCGCUCGAACGUUAUUGAAAAUUGGUAAAAAAAAAAUGUAAGACUCGAAGGCCAUUUUGUCCGAUAGUUUGUCCAAAAAGGGAUCGGUUUAAUAUCGCGUAAUUUUUCUCGUUGCGAAAUAUUCACUGAAAUUGCAUCAAAGGAUCCAAUUAAAUGGAUUUAUCAUCGAAAUAUUAUCAGGGAAUAAAAGUCAGCGAGGAUGUAGAAAGAAGAAGGAAAUUAGCAUUACAGUUCCCUUGCUCCUUUGCAGAUUUUAAUUCUGAUUGAUACUCGCUUAAUUACUACCUUCAAGGAUUAAUUACGGACCAGUUAGCACGAGUAUCCAGUUAGUUCGAGUCUGAUCAGAAUUUAAUUUAUCCAACAUUUUAUCGCCCCAAUGUUGUACCCAUCUUGCGGCAUAUAACAUGUUGCUGCUUCCUUCCGUUAUCACCUCUAUCCAUCUUCUAUGCCGAUCCUAAUUUUACUUUAUAACAUCCAAGGAAUUUAUUAAGUAUUCAAAGAUUCACCCUUCGAAAUGCAAUUAACAACGAAGGAUAGCGGAAACAAAGAGGG